CCGGCUUACGCCUGAUCACAGCAGCAUGAUACAAUAUCAAUUUAUCAUCCAUGAAUGAAACGAAUUGUUCUCAUCAUCACCAGCCUGACCAUUUUGGAGGCCUUGAGCGGAAAAAAAUGCGAGGGACCUUUUCCAAAUGUCAAUGCUAUAAACCGUCCUUUAUCCUAACUUGACUAACACGAAGAUCGAAGACAUAAAUCAUGACUCGCACAGCUCCGAUAAGCACAAAACCAAUACUGCCGGGACAAGAAAGACAAAGAAUGUCGUAAAAUAAUAAUAAUAUGAAGCCACAUAACACAUGUCUACUACCGAUGAGCAUAAAAACGACAAAGCUUCUACCGUUUCUUGAUCCUGCAAACCAGUUCGGCGCAUUACCUUUCCUUUAAAGGUUACGAUGAGAGGC
RNAcentral lists this long non-coding RNA (403 nucleotides) under Helianthus annuus (common sunflower). RNAcentral's name for it is "hypothetical non coding rna". Lineage: Eukaryota; Viridiplantae; Streptophyta; Magnoliopsida; Asterales; Asteraceae. The record is from RNAcentral.